AGUACAAUUUCUGGGUUGAAUGUUUAGUUUUAAAAGAAACUGCCAAACUUUUUCCAGAGUAGCUAUCUCAUUUUACAUUCCCACCAGCAAU
RNAcentral lists this microRNA precursor (91 nucleotides) under Marmota monax (woodchuck). The record is from RNAcentral. Lineage: Eukaryota; Metazoa; Chordata; Mammalia; Rodentia; Sciuridae.